AUGGCGUCGUCCGCCAUGCACGUAUCCAUUCUUUCCCUCCUCCUCCUAGCCACCACAGCGAGCAUCCCGCAUGCCUCUUCUCGAGCCGCCCCCUCCCAGGCGGACGGCGGCGCUACCGGCGGCAAGGCCGUGUACACCAAGGUGUGCGACGCGUCCCGGUUCAUGGCGGCCGGGCUGGACAUGUCCAAGUACCGGUACUGCAACGCGUCGCUUCCGUACGGCGACCGUGUGCGCGACCUCAUCGGCUGGAUGACGGUGGAGGAGAAGGUGUCCAACCUCGGCGACUGGGCUGACGGCGCGCCCCGCGUCGGCCUUCCCCCGUACAAGUGGUGGUCGGAGGCGCUACACGGGCUUUCCAGCACCGGCCCCACCACCAAGUUCGACGACCCCAAGAAACCGCGCCUCCACUCCGGCCGCGCCGCCGUCUUCAACGGCACUGUCUUCGCUAACGUCAUCAACAGCGCCGCCUCCUUCAACGAGUCCCUCUGGAAGUCCAUCGGCCAGGCGAUCUCGACGGAGGCCCGAGCGAUGUACAACCUGGGCAAGGGAGGGCUGACGUACUGGAGCCCCAACAUCAACGUGGUGCGCGACCCGAGGUGGGGCCGCGCGCUGGAGACGCCCGGCGAGGACCCCUACGUCGUCGGCCGCUACGCCGUCAACUUCGUGCGCGGCAUGCAGGACAUCCCGGGCCACGAGGUGGCCUCCGACCCCAUGUCCCGGCCGCUCAAGACCUCCGCGUGCUGCAAGCAUUACGCCGCCUACGACGUGGACGACUGGUACGGCCACACGCGCUUCAAGUUCGACGCCCGCGUCGAGGAGCGCGACAUGGUGGAGACCUUCCAGCGCCCGUUCGAGAUGUGCGUCCGCCAUGGCGACGUCAGCAGCGUCAUGUGCUCCUACAACCGCGUCAACGGCAUCCCGGCCUGCGCCGACGCGCGCCUCCUCUCCGGCACCAUCCGCCGCGACUGGGGCCUCCACGGCUACAUCGUCUCCGACUGCGACGCCGUGCGCGUCAUGACCGACAACGCCACAUGGCUGGGCUACACCGCGGUCGAGUCCACCGCCGCCGUGCUCAAGGCCGGGCUCGACCUCGACUGCGGCGAGAGCUGGAUCGUGCAGGACGGCAAGCCCGUCAUGGACUUCCUCACCACCUACGGCCUGGAGGCCGUCCAGAAGGGCAAGACACGCGAGUCCGACGUCGACAACGCGCUCACCAACCUCUACAUGACGCUCAUGAGGCUCGGCUACUUCGACGGCAUGCCCAGGUACGAGUCCCUCAACGAGAAGGACAUCUGCAGCCACGACCACAGGAGCCUCGCCCUCGACGGGGCCAGACAGGGCAUGGUGCUCCUCAAGAACCACGGCGGCCUGCUGCCCCUUGACCCCAAGAAGUUCGGCGCCAUCGCCGUCCGCGGCCCACAUGCCGAGGCGCCUGAAAAGAUCAUGGACGGAGACUACACAGGGCCGCCUUGCCGGUACGUGACGCCGCGAGAAGGCAUAAGCAAGGACGUGAAGAUCUGGCAUCACGCAAACUUGACCAUCUACUUUGGUGGCAUAAACAUGCACAUCGAGAGGGAGGGCAACGACAGGGAGGAUCUCCUCCUGCCCAAGAACCAGACGGAGGAGAUCCUCCACAUCGCGGCGGUAUCGUCUAACCCGAUCGUCCUCGUGAUCCUGUCCGGCGGCGGCAUCGACAUCUCCUUCGCGCAGGGCAACCCCAAGAUCGGCGCCAUCCUCUGGGCCGGUUACCCUGGUGGGGAAGGUGGCAUCGCCAUUGCUGAUGUCAUCUUCGGAAGAUACAGUCCAGGAGGACGGCUGCCACUGACAUGGUUCAAGAACAAGUACAUCCACCAGAUUCCUAUGACGUCCAUGGAGCUACGGCCGCGGCCGGACCACGGAUACCCGGGGCGGACAUACAAGUUUUACGACGGGCCGUAUGUGCUUUAUCGGUUCGCCCACGGCCUGAGCUACACCAAGUUCCGAUACGAGAGCAGCGCUGGCAACGGCACCGCAGUCACCCUCGCCGCCGGCGGGCACUGCAAGCAGCUCAGCUACAAGGCCGGCGCCGUGGACACUGCCCCGUCCUGCCCGGCCAUCGACGUCGCGAGCCACGCCUGCAAAGAGACCGUGGACUUCAACGUCAGCGUCGUCAAUUGCGGUGACGUGGACGGCAGCCACACGGUGCUGGUGUACACUGUGCCGCCGCCAGAGGUGGCCGGCGCGCCCAUCAAGCAGGUGGUGGCGUUCCAGAGGGUGUUUGUGAAGGCGGGCCGCGCAGCGACCGUUGGGUUCUCGCUCAAGGUGUGCGAGGCGUUUGGCAUCGUGGAGAAGACGGCGUACACCGUCGUGCCGUCAGGCGUCAGCACCGUCCUCCUUGAGAACGGUGACACGUCGUCGCCGUCGUCGGUGUCUUUCCCCGUCAAGAUCAGCUUCUCUACUUAG
This 2442-nucleotide ribosomal RNA is filed under the name Triticum aestivum (bread wheat). RNAcentral describes it as "partial small subunit ribosomal RNA". Lineage: Eukaryota; Viridiplantae; Streptophyta; Magnoliopsida; Poales; Poaceae. The record is from RNAcentral.